CUACUAGAUGAGCCUAUGUCAGAUUAGCUAGUUGGUGGGGUAAUGGCCCACCAAGGCUGUGAUCUGUAGCUGGUCUGAGAGGAUGAUCAGCCACACUGGAACUGAGACACGGUCCAGACUCCUACGGGAGGCAGCAGUGGGGAAUAUUGGACAAUGGGCGCAAGCCUGAUCCAGCUAUGCCGCGUGAGUGAGGAAGGCCUUAGGGUUGUAAAACUCUUUCAGUAGGGAAGAUAAUGACGGUAC
This 243-nucleotide ribosomal RNA is filed under the name uncultured Anaplasma sp. RNAcentral describes it as "partial 16S ribosomal RNA". It matches the Rfam family "Bacterial small subunit ribosomal RNA", at positions 218 to 478 of the family's 1533-position model. Lineage: Bacteria; Pseudomonadati; Pseudomonadota; Alphaproteobacteria; Rickettsiales; Anaplasmataceae. The record is from RNAcentral.